GGGGGCGACAUGGCUUCGACGUGGGUUGCGAAUCAGAACAGUGCAUACCGAGGACCAGUCACCUCGUAAAUACAUCUGGAAACUUUACAAACGCCAACGACGAACAAUUCGCACUAGCCGCUUAAGCGGCUGGCGCUGCACCGGUACUCUGAUGGACCGGACCAGGCAACUGGAGGCAGUGUCAUAUACGUCAGAUAAGGGUCUGUAAUGCCGCGCGGCAGACCUCGAAAAUUAAGCGGAUCGCCUGAAGCGAGCCUGUUCGGCCGGCGCGCAAAGGUUAAACCCAAAUUGACCGGACUAAGUAUGUAGAUCUGCCUGUGUAGGACUUGCGGACGGGGGUUCGAUCCCCCCCGCCUCCACCA
This 362-nucleotide transfer-messenger RNA is filed under the name Rhodocyclaceae. RNAcentral describes it as "Azonexus sp016709495 Standard tmRNA". It matches the Rfam family "transfer-messenger RNA". Rfam says of the family: Bacterial tmRNA, also known as 10Sa RNA or SsrA, is named for its dual tRNA and mRNA-like properties. Its role is to liberate the mRNA from a stalled ribosome. To accomplish this part of the tmRNA is used as a reading frame that ends in a translation stop signal. Lineage: Bacteria; Pseudomonadati; Pseudomonadota; Betaproteobacteria; Rhodocyclales. RNAcentral also lists the same sequence under 1 other name. The record is from RNAcentral.